UACGUUCCCGGGCCUUGUACACACCGCCCGUCAAGCCAUGGAAGCUGGGGGUGCCUGAAAUCGGUGACCGCAAGGAGCUGCCUAGGGUAAAACUAGUAACUAGGGCU
This 107-nucleotide ribosomal RNA is filed under the name uncultured bacterium. Its description in RNAcentral is "partial 16S ribosomal RNA". It matches the Rfam family "Bacterial small subunit ribosomal RNA", at positions 1367 to 1482 of the family's 1533-position model. The record is from RNAcentral.